GCUGGGCGUGGUGGCGCACACCUGUAAUCUCAGCUACUCAGGAGGCUGAGGCAGGAGAAUAGCUUGAACCCAGGAGGUGGAGGUUGCAGUGAGCUGAGUGCCACUGCACUCCAGCCUGGGUGACACAGUGAGACUCUGUCUCCA
Molecule: unclassified non-coding RNA, 144 nt
Organism: Macaca mulatta (Rhesus monkey)
Lineage: Eukaryota; Metazoa; Chordata; Mammalia; Primates; Cercopithecidae
Rfam family: Metazoan signal recognition particle RNA
About the family: The signal recognition particle (SRP) is a universally conserved ribonucleoprotein. It is involved in the co-translational targeting of proteins to membranes.
Source: Ensembl